Ylistrum balloti is the source of this 224-nucleotide long non-coding RNA. RefSeq lists it as uncharacterized. The transcript has 3 exons. NCBI's taxonomy places the organism in Eukaryota, Metazoa, Mollusca, Bivalvia, Pectinida, Pectinidae. The record is from RefSeq and is a predicted model, not a curated record.
UUGGGAAGAAAACUGCCUACCUUGUCCAGAAAGGUGUGCUGGUCAAUGUGACCGUGCUGGAGGUUGUAAUGAAUGCCAAGACGGAUUCUUUGGAUUGGAAUGUUCGUAUAGAUGCCCGGCUAACUGUGGAAGUAGAAAAUGUGAGAAGACAUUCGGCGAUUGUUUUGAUUGUCAAGUCGGAUUCCAUGGUUACAGAUGCACGUUUUCAUGUCCAUCUUCUUGCC